AAUCAAUAUAAACAUAAUAAUUAUACAAUAUAAAACAGUGGAUCCAAGAAGUAGAGAGAAGGGAAAAAAACUUGCUACAAAAAUGCUAAAGUUUAUCCUUGUAUUUCAUAGAUUGUAUAGACAUUAGGGCUUGAA
Molecule: long non-coding RNA, 135 nt
Organism: Gavialis gangeticus (Gharial)
Lineage: Eukaryota; Metazoa; Chordata; Crocodylia; Gavialidae
Exons: 3
Source: RefSeq, a predicted model, not a curated record